GAUGAACGCUGACAGAAUGCUUAACACAUGCAAGUCGAUUCGAUUUACCUUCGGGUAUUGAGGAUGGCGGACGGGUGAGUAACGCGUAAGGAACUUGCCUCUUGGUCUGGGACAACUGUUGGAAACGACAGCUAAUACCGGAUAUUAUGAGAUUCUCGCAUGGGAAACUUAUGAAAGCUAUAUGCGCCAAGAGAGAGCCUUGCGUUCCAUUAGCUAGUUGGUGGGGUAACGGCCCACCAAGGCGACGAUGGAUAGCCGGCCUGAGAGGGUGAACGGCCACAAGGGGACUGAGACACGGCCCUUACUCCUACGGGAGGCAGCAGUGGGGAAUAUUGGACAAUGGGCCACAAGCCUGAUCCAGCAAUUCUGUGUGCACGAUGAAGGUCUUCGGAUUGUAAAGUGCUUUCAGUUGGGAAGAAGAAAGUGACGGUACCAACAGAAGAAGCGACGGCUAAAUACGUGCCAGCAGCCGCGGUAAUACGUAUGUCGCAAGCGUUAUCCGGAUUUAUUGGGCGUAAAGCGCGUCUAGGCGGAAAAAUAAGUCUGAUGUUAAAAUGCGGGGCUCAACUCCGUAUUGCGUUGGAAACUGUUUUUCUAGAGUACUGGAGAGGUGG
RNAcentral lists this ribosomal RNA (614 nucleotides) under uncultured prokaryote. RNAcentral's name for it is "bacterial SSU rRNA". It matches the Rfam family "Bacterial small subunit ribosomal RNA", at positions 28 to 660 of the family's 1533-position model. The record is from RNAcentral.